Molecule: non-coding RNA, 66 nt
Organism: Potamilus streckersoni
Lineage: Eukaryota; Metazoa; Mollusca; Bivalvia; Unionida; Unionidae
Source: the annotation of a GenBank genome assembly
GUGGACUAGUGGUUAGAGCGUCCGCCUCUGAUGCGGGAGGUCAUGGGUUCGAUCCCGACUGACUCA